Hydra vulgaris (swiftwater hydra) is the source of this 1002-nucleotide long non-coding RNA. RefSeq lists it as uncharacterized. Lineage: Eukaryota; Metazoa; Cnidaria; Hydrozoa; Anthoathecata; Hydridae. The record is from RefSeq and is a predicted model, not a curated record.
AACUUGAUAUGAAAAUUGAAAAAUGAUUGAAAGCAUGCUGAAAUUGUUUAAAUUCAGAAAUUGAAAGAGUACAAAAUUGGUUGAAAAAUUAAAUUAAGUAACAGGUAUGGUUGAGGGAUUAUUUAUAGUUCUAAUUAUAAUUAUUUCUUUUGAAUAGAGUUGUUAUCAGAUUCAAAGAUUAAAGAAGAUAAUUUUUCUUCACAUUUUAUUGAUGAACAGAAUAAAACCGAGCAAAGUUCACAUUGUCAAAGAGUUUCAAGUUUUAAUAUGAGUUUUUUUGGUUUUUACACCACUGAAUGUUAAUAUGGAGGUCUUUUUUGUUAAUUUGUUUUUGUAUUAAAAUAAUUGAAAAAGAUAGGUAUAAAAGAAUAGAAAUGGAUUAUUUACAAUAUUGUGAUCCGAUAAAUGUGUGAAGCAUUUUACCUUUAGUAGUUAAACAAAAUUCUUUAAUAUCGUAACUUUUUACAGGAUAAAGUUUUAGCUGAUUUAAAAAGUAGGUUUUCUAAAAUAUUAUGGCAACUUCUGCGAUAGAGUAAUUAAAAAACUUACAUGUAUUUUUGGAGUUUUAGUUUGAAAUACUCAAGCAUAAUUUGAAUUUUAAAGUUCAUUUUUCAUUGUUUUGCUAUUUGGUUUUAUUAGCUAAAUAUGUUAAUCAAUCUUUUUAUUCUUGUUUGUAGAAAUGCAAAAUGUUAUUCUCAACGAACUUGCAGAAAUAAAAGUUCUUUUAAAAGAAGUUAUAGAAAUUAAGUUUCAGGCUACUGGGGUGAAGUUGCUAGAAUCAGUGGACGAAGUGGUUACACUGAAUAAUAAACUAAAAGAUAAAACUGAGUAUACUAAUUUGCUUGAUAGUUUGAAAAAGAUUGGUGGUGGAAAGCCAAGAGAACAUGUUUUUUAUUCAUGAAAAGAUUUCGGCGACGUGGAAGAAAAUGUUGACGGCAAUGAAGAAAUAUAGUUUCUUAUGUAUAUUUUUGUGAAAUAAAAAUUAAGUAAUGUUAGUUAAAA